This 5555-nucleotide long non-coding RNA is filed under the name Sus scrofa (pig). RNAcentral describes it as "lncRNA (ENSSSCG00065069622.1)". Lineage: Eukaryota; Metazoa; Chordata; Mammalia; Artiodactyla; Suidae. The record is from RNAcentral.
GAGGUGACUGCCUCACUUCAGAGCAGGUCUGUGCUUUAAAAAAUCAUAUGGCUAAGUUCAGAGAAAAUGCACAGUACAUUUUUCAUGCUGGAGUUAAAGAGUAUUUGGUAGCAGACAGCAGACUUUUUCUAUUGGUCUUAAAUAUUUAGAAUGGGAAAGUCUUUGUUGUUACUGAAUACAAUCCCUAGCCCUCUCAUUAUUUCUGUAUUCUAAGACUAGGGAUCUUUCUGCUACACUGCUAGUUUUUAGUUUUUGUUUUAACCAGGGAAACCCUUCCUAUACAAAAAACCUUAGAGGUGAGCCCAAUUUGAAACAUAGCUAAAAAGCAAAGCUACUCUACCUGUAUUGGAGAAGAGGAACGUAGUUGCAGAGUUCUUAUUUCCUGUCCUUNAAAAAAAAAAAAAAAAAAAAAAAAAAAAAAGCCAUUCUCAGAGUUCCCACUGUGGUGCAGUGGGUUAAAGAUCUGGCAUUGUCUCUGCAGCAGCAUGGGAUGAAUCCCUGGCCUGGCCCUGUAGGUUAAGGAUCCGGUGUUGCCACAGUUGUGGCGUAGGUCACAGUUACAGCUCAGAUUCCAUUCCUGUUUCAAUCCAUGUAUAGGAAACAAAAUCCACUCUAGCAACAGAAAUGAGGUAUCAUAAAGUAUUGAAUGCCUUAGAGAAUCACUGAGAGGGCUAGGGAAACAGGCUGGAGGGAGAGCUUCCAGGAACUUCUCAAACAGCCCCCCAGAACUGGGCUGCCAGGGGCACCCCGGCCCACCAACAUCAGAGGAACAGUUGCAUAGAUCAGUGUGAAUUUUUCCUUUUUUGGCUGCCCUGCUGACAUAUGGUAUUCCUGGGCCAGGGAUUAGAUCUGAGCUGCGGUUGUGAUCUGCCACAGCUGUGACAAUGCUCAAUCCUUUAACCCACUGUGCUGGGCUGGGGAUUGAACCUGCAUCCUGAUGCUGCAGAGAUGCUACUGAUCCUAUUGCGCCACAGUGCCAACUCCUGAAUUGUCACUUUUUUUUUUCUUUUUGCUUUUUAGGGCUGUACUUGCAGCAUAUGCAGGUUCCCAGGCUAGGAGUCCAAUCAGAGCUGCAACUGCCAGCCUACACCACAGCCACAGCAAUGCCAGAUCCGAGCCACAUCUGUGAUCUACACCACAGCUCACAGCAACACUGGAUCCCCGACACACUGAGUGAGGCCAGAGGUCAAACCUGCAUCCUCGUGGAUACUAGUUGGAUUCUUUUCCGCUGCGCCACAACAGGAAUCUCCUAGAAGAAUGUCACUUUCCAUCUCCUUUGAGAGAGCUUCAAACCUCUCUGCUGAGUUGAUCUCUGCCAAACCCCAUCUGAGAACUCAGUCCUGGAGCCCAGGGCAGGGACCCCUUCCUUCUUAGCUCUCUUCUCCAGAGCCUGUUUGCUCCUGCUGCUUUGCCUCAAUCUGCUGGAAUGCUCCCUAUGGAGGCAGUGAACCUGGCUCUCACAUGAUCAAGACUCUUGCUGUAAACUUUGGGUGUUGGUACUCUAAAGGCUGAGGCUCCUGUGAACUAUUGAUUCUGUAAAUUUGUAAAGCAUCUAUUUUGGAAUUUUUCCUCCUCUGCUGUAUCACUCCUGCCCUAUUUCCUCCCUCUACGAACAAGGGAACAAGAGCAGAAAGCCCGAGGGGAGAAAACCACUCACCUUAGUUACUAUACCAAGUAACAUCCUGCCCAUUCCAUUUAUGUGUCUGUCCUGUGCUAUGAUAACCUGUGAUCUCAGUGAAGAAGGAGGAAUGUUUCAUUUUCAUCUUUCCCAUGGUAGAGUGACACAAAAGAGGGACUUAAGGAGUUCCCACUGUGACACAAUGGGAUCAGUGGUGUCUCUGCAGUGCCAUGAUGCAGCUUCGAUCUCCAGCCCAGCACAGUGGGUUAAAGGAUCCAACAUUGCCACACAUGCCUCAUAGAUUGCAACUGCAGCUUGGAUCUGUCCCCUGGCCUGAGAACUCCAUCUGUCCAUAUGCCAUGGGGUGGCAAAAAAGGGGGGGGGGAAGAGGCACUUAAAUGUCUGUUGGAUGAGUGAAAGUAAGCCCAGUCUCCUUCCCCCAUUCAAGAUACAUAGAGAAAUGGAGAGAUAUACACUUUAUCUAUAUAGCAUUCUGUGACAUGAGUCACAGGACUUGUAAAUGUGAUCCUGUCCUGGGGGAUGUUCUUAUCUGUAGACCGUUGCCAUUUUACUUCCUCCCCAGCACCAGUGAAAAAGCCUCAUUUGCUUCCUUUCUGACUUCUCAAGUUCAUCCCACCUGAAACCUCACCACUGAGUACUCUUCCUCCUGUGCCUGGAUCCAGCCUACCAUCUUUCCUCCCCAUCACACUAUCUUUUGCCUUCUCAUUGCCACAGUCUUGGACCCAGAUUCUUAUUAUCUAGCAUCCAGGCUGGUUAUAAGCAAUUUCUUCCCACUUUUCCUGCCUCUAAUUUCCACGUCUCUCAUUUUCAUUCUGCACCCACCUUCUACAUUAAUCUUCCAGACUGAUCCAGUUAAGUUCCCUGAUAUUCUGCUAUUGGCUGACAAUGCUUGAAAUUGCUACUGAUGUAAUUUUCCCAGAUCUUUACUUUUCCUCUUCCACCUCAUCAAUUUAAAGGCCAUCCAGCCCUCAAAGUCCAGCCUAACAUUUUUAUCAUCUCUAUGCCUUGUUUGUUCUGUUCAUUUUUUGGCCACCCUGUGGCAGAUGGAGUUCCCAGGCCAGGGAUCAGAUCUGAGCCGCAGUUGCAACCUAUGCAGCACGUGAGGCAAUGCCAGAUCCUUAACCCACUGUGCCAGGUCGGGGAUUGAACCUGUAUCCCAGUGCUCCCAAGAUGCCACCAAUCCCAUUACACCACAGCAGGAACUCCUCACCUCUAAGCCAUCUUCCCUAACAUACCUUGCCUCCCAAGGUAAAGCAAUUUUCAUUCCAACUUUCCAUUACUGUGGCCCAAAUGUAACAAAACUAAUUAUGUGAUACAUUAUCUUAUAUACAUGUCUUAUCCUCUCAAAAUAAUUGCUCCCUCAGAGGAGACAAAUCUGUUAAAAUCUCCAAAGGCAUGCUACAGAAGAGACACUCAUUAAUGUCCCUUGAUAGACUGAGCAAGACCUCAUUCUCCCUCUGGACAUGGAGUUCUUUCCUCAGGAAGGAAUGUGAGGAAUAUUAGGGCAGGGACAGAGUGGAGUGCGCCUUGCUAGCUUGGGUAGUUCUUAUGAUUUAUCUUUCUUGAAACGUGAUGAUUGCACUUUCUAUAGUUCCCCUGUCAUACUGUGGUUUUCUAAAAAUGAGCUUAUUUACUGUAAAAAAUGAGGCAUAUUGUAAGGUCCUGAGGUCCAGAUACCAUAAACACUUGAACAGGCCAGAUCACCCCAGGUCAAUAUAUUCAAAUGCAUUCAACUAAAAUAUCCUUUUCUAAGCUGAAUCUAGUGUUUUGCCCCAAUUAUUCCAAAUAGCCUCAAGCGCCUCUUUUGCUUUGGUGUUGGCACAUCAAAAAUGUAUUUUCAAAAUCCUGUCAAGUUCUCUUGGACUAGAACAUAAUCAAAUAAUUUGUGGUUCCCAACCACAUUUGGAGAACAUUAGGAGCAGUAUUAGGAACUACUCCAAGCCAACAGGACCUAGCAAUCUAUGAAUUCUGUCACCUUCUCUGUGACUCACAGUACUAGUGGUUCAAUCCUACAGCUAACAGAGAAAGAGAAUAAUGUGACUGAAAGCCAAAACUGACACUAGGUUCUGCUACUAAGGCAAACUGUAUAAGUCAUACCAGUUGCAAAAAUACACAUUCUGCCCACUUCUACUUUUAAAGACUUGGGAAAAUGUUAGAGAUGGAGUCUGAAGAGGCAAAGAGGGAACACUAAAACUUCCAAACCUUUUCUGAGACCCUGCUGCAAUGCAGAACAAAUUAUUGAACCGUUAGAUAAUGAAAUUAGCCCAGAGCUCUGGCAGGAAUGAAGAGAGCUGAGUUGCUCUGCUUUCUUAAGUGAGAGGAAUUGAGAUGGGAGGGUUUGAGGGAACAAGGUGACCAAGCAACCUGGAUAAGAGGACUUUUAAGGAAAAGAAAGUUUAAUAUUUAAUUUUAUGAUGCAUCGAUGCUGAAUCCUUCCAUCUCCCUGGAAUGUUCAGUAAAGUCUGGUACAUAAACAGUGUCAUCUAUAAGUAGUUUUCAGGGAAGACAGAGGAGCUGUGUUCUACAUCCAGGACCAUGAAGAGCAGAAAGAAGUGAACAGUGGUGGGAGGAAAGAGCUGGACUUGACUGGAAACAGUUGUUCAGACCCACAAGUGGCAAUAAGAAUGUAAAAACCCUCCAAUUUGCUAAAAUGUUGGCAGAAGACCAGAAUUCCAAAAGGACAUGGAUAAAGGCCCUGAGAUAAUUUAUAUAAAUAUCAGGGGACAGACUGGGUGACCUUAGCUACAUUGAGUUACAUAUUCAUGUCCAUAUGGACACAAUUUGGCUAUAGAGUGCAAAUUUAAUCUUCAAUCUCUUCACUAAUUUACUUCAAAAACUAUGCAUGUUUUGUCACCAGGCUUUUAUUCUGAUCCUAACAUGUAUCCUCUUUUAUAGACAUAUCUGUGCAUUCUGGCUUCUUCAAGAUUGUUGCCAUCAUGUUCUGUGUGCAAAGAGGAUUUAUAGAUGGUACAAAUGUGGUGAAAGGUAUUCACAGCUAAUAAAAUCAAGAAAAAAUAUUGCCUCAUAAUAUUUAAGAUGUCUGCCAAGUUGAAUAGAGGUGAAAAGCAAAAUUCUGCCAAAAGGGCGUCACUGGAGGCAAGAACUGUAUUCUCUAACAGAAUACACAGAAUUGAUGGUACCUCACUUCCAGGGUUAAAUCAUAAAAGACAUUGACUUGGAGGUCUCACUGUGGCACAAUGGGAUCAGUGGCAUCUCUGAAGCGUGAAGAUGCAGGUUCGAUCCCAGUCUACUACAGUUGGUUAAGGCCUCACCACAGCUGUGGUGCAGGUUGCAAUUGCAGCUCAGAUCUGAUCCCCGGCAAGGGAACUCCAUGUACUGCAGGGCAGCCAAAACAAACAAACAAACAAAAAAACACAAGACACUGGCUUGCAAUCAUUUGCCCUGGGGAAGCCAGAUUGUGGAUGAAGAGGCAUGCUUGUUAAGAAACAUGGACUUGGAGAACAGACUUGUGAUUGCCUUGGGGAGGAGGAGGGAGUGGGAUGGAUUAGGAGCUUGGGGUUAAUGGAUGCAAGCUAUUGCCUUUGGAAUGGAGUAGCAAUGAGAUCCUGCUGUGUAGCACUGAGAACUAUGUCUAAUCACUUAUGACAGAGCAUGAUAAUGGAAGAAAAAAGAAUGUAUACAUGUAUGUGUAACUGGGUCAUUAUGCUGUAUAGUAGAAAAAAAUUGAAUUGGGAAAAUAACAAUAGUAAUAAAAAGAAACCAAAGCCUCAUGUGAAGAAGCCUGGAAGGGACUCUCUAGCAGCAGUCAGAUCUUCAGAGUCUGCAGCCCCAGACAACAAUUUAACUGCAAACUCUUGAAAGACCAUGAGCUGGAGAGCCAACCACCUGAGCCACUCCUGGAUUCCUGAUCCUCAGAAACUGUGUUGGAUAAUAAAGGUUGGUUGUUUUAAUUUGC